This 458-nucleotide ribosomal RNA is filed under the name uncultured bacterium. RNAcentral describes it as "partial 16S ribosomal RNA". It matches the Rfam family "Bacterial small subunit ribosomal RNA", at positions 338 to 795 of the family's 1533-position model. The record is from RNAcentral.
CCUACGGGGGGCAGCAGUGGGGAAUAUUGCACAAUGGGGGAAACCCUGAUGCAGCGACGCCGCGUGAGUGAAGAAGUAAUUCGUUACGUAAAGCUCUAUCAGCAGGGAAGAAAUACUGACCUUACGGUCAGCAGACGGUACCUGAGUAAGAAGCCCCGGCUAACUACGUGCCAGCGGCCGCGGUACUACGUAGGGGGCAAGCGUUAUCCGGAUUUACUGGGGGUAAAGGGAGCGUAGGCGGUUUAGCAAGUCAGAAGUGAAAGCCCGGGGCUCAACUCCGGGACUGCUUUUGAAACUGUUGAACUGGAGUGCAGGAGAGGUAAGUGGAAUUCCUAGUGUAGCGGUGAAAUGCGUAGAUAUUAGGAGGAACACCAGUGGCGAAGGCGGCUUACUGGACUGUAAAUGACGCUGAGGCUCGAAAGCGUGGGGAGCAAACAGGAUUAGAUACCCGUGUAGUC